CGCGUAGGCGGUCUCUUAAGUCAGAUGCGAAAGCCCGAGGCUUAACCUCGGAAGUGCAUUUGAAACUGAGGGACUUGAGUAUGGGAGAGGGAAGUGGAAUUCCUGGUGUAGCGGUGAAAUGCGUAGAUAUCAGGAGGAACACCGGUGGCGAAGGCGACUUCCUGGACCAAUACUGACGCUGAGGCGCGAAGGCGUGGGGAGCAAACA
This 207-nucleotide ribosomal RNA is filed under the name uncultured bacterium. Its description in RNAcentral is "partial 16S ribosomal RNA". It matches the Rfam family "Bacterial small subunit ribosomal RNA", at positions 568 to 774 of the family's 1533-position model. The record is from RNAcentral.